GAUGAACGCUGGCGGCGUGCCUAAUACAUGCAAGUCGAGCGAACGGACGAGAAGCUUGCUUCUCUGAUGUUAGCGGCGGACGGGUGAGUAACACGUGGAUAACCUACCUAUAAGACUGGGAUAACUUCGGGAAACCGGAGCUAAUACCGGAUAAUAUUUUGAACCGCAUGGUUCAAAAGUGAAAGACGGUCUUGCUGUCACUUAUAGAUGGAUCCGCGCUGCAUUGGCUAGUUGGUAAGGUAACGGCUUACCAAGGCAACGAUGCAUAGCCGACCUGAGAGGCUGAUCGCCCACACUGGAACUUAGACACCGUCCAUACUCCUACGGUACGCCGCAGUAGGGUAUGUUACGCAGUAGGCGGAAACAUGACAGAGCGACGCCACGUGAGUGGUGGCGAUGCUCGGAUCGUAAUGCUCUGUUAUUAGGGAUAAACAUCUGUGUACGUAGCUGUACACAUCUUGACGGUAACUAAUCAGAAAGCAACGGCUAACUACGUG
Molecule: ribosomal RNA, 497 nt
Filed under: uncultured bacterium
Lineage: Bacteria
Description: partial 16S ribosomal RNA
Rfam family: Bacterial small subunit ribosomal RNA
Source: RNAcentral